UACGUAGGGGGCAAGCGUUGUCCGGAUUUAUUGGGCGUAAAGAGCUCGUAGGCGGUUUGGUAAGUCUGGGUGUGAAAUCUCCACGCUCAACGUGGAGGGGCCACCCGAUACUGCCAUGACUGGAGUCCGGUAGAGGAGUGUGGAAUUCCCGGUGUAGCGGUGAAAUGCGCAGAUAUCGGGAGGAACACCCGUAGCGAAGGCGGCACUCUGGGCCGGUACUGACGCUGAGACGCGAAAGCGUGGGGAGCGAACAGG
Molecule: ribosomal RNA, 255 nt
Filed under: uncultured bacterium
Lineage: Bacteria
Description: partial 16S ribosomal RNA
Rfam family: Bacterial small subunit ribosomal RNA
Source: RNAcentral